GAUGAACGCUCGGCGGGCGGUGCCUAACACAGUGCAAGUCGAACGAAGCGACGUGGAGGAAGUUUUACGGGAUGGAAAUCCGGUUGACUGAGUGGCGGACGGGUGAGUAACGCGUGGAUAACCUGCCUCACACUGGGGGAUAACAGUUAGAAAUGGCUGCUAAUACCGCAUAAGAGCACAGUACCGCAUGGUACGGUGUGAAAAACCCAGGUGGUGUGAGAUGGAUCCGCGUUGGAUUAGCCAGUUGGCAGGGUAACGGCCUACCAAAGCGACGAUCCAUAGCCGGCCUGAGAGGGUGAACGGCCACAUUGGGACUGAGAUACGGCCCAG
RNAcentral lists this ribosomal RNA (330 nucleotides) under uncultured bacterium. RNAcentral describes it as "bacterial SSU rRNA". It matches the Rfam family "Bacterial small subunit ribosomal RNA", at positions 35 to 334 of the family's 1533-position model. The record is from RNAcentral.